AAAGGGAAAAUCCUAGUGACUAAAGAGAAGAAAAAGACUUUUCAUAUCAUAUACCAAAUAACUUCUGGGGCAAGUUCCUUCUCAAAUAUGCCACUUUUCACCGCACAAAAAUUUCCACACAGGAGUCCUUCACAGAGUUGAGUUGUGUUCUUUGUAGAUUUCAGAGUUUUUUUCCCUAACAUUAUGGCACAAGAAUUGGAGUGUGCCCCUGAGCUUGCUGUUGAUGAUUUUUACCUCUCAGUUCUUUCUGAAGAAGAAUACUGUGAUCAACAAGCCAUUCUCCCAGUUUCUGACUCCAAAUAUGCUGAAGAGUUGCAGUUCCAGGAGGCCUUUAUGGCUUCCAUGGUCAGUUUUCAGAUGACCGACAGGAGUGACAUAACUAUUCCAUCAUCCCCUUUAAUGGUUAUCCAAGCAACUGAAGAUCAACAUAAGCCUCAUCUUUUGGACCACUCUGAGGAGUCAAUGAAGAUGUCAAUGGUGAAAAUGGAAUCUGGUGAGUCCCCUCAAACUUUCUGUGAGAUUUGUGCUGAAAGAAAAGAAAUUGAUGAAAUUUUUAAAACUGAGAGUUGUGUUCACUCGUAUUGCCGUGAUUGUAUAAGCAAAUAUGUGGCUACAAAGCUUCAGGAUAAGGUUAUCACAGUGACUUGUCCUGGUUUGAACUGCAAAUCCAUCCUGGAAAUUGAUUUUUUUAGGCCUUUGCUUCCAAAGGGUGUGGUUAAAAUUUGGGAGGAGGCCAUUUGCGAAGAGAUGAUUGAUGUUUCACGGAGGUUUCACUGUCCAUUCAAGGAUUGUUCAGCCAUGUUGGUGAUUGAAAUCGAUGGAGAAGUUAUAACAAGUGCUGAAUGCCCUUUUUGUCACUGAUUGUUCUGUGCACAGUGUGAUGUUCCAUGGCAUUGUGGGAUGGAGUGUGGGGAGUAUCAGAGUCUCAACGCAGAUGAAAGAGGGAGGGAAGAUCUCAUGGUGAGAGAGCUGGCUAAGGAGAAGGAAUGGGCCAGAUGCCCCAAGUGCAAAUACUAUGUUGAAAGGACUGAAGGUUGCCCAAAUAUGAGUUGCAGGUGCAAGAGUUUGAGUUUUACUAUGGAUGUAACACAGAGUGGGAUAGACGCCAUAGCGGUUGCCAGAGACAGUAGCAGAUUAUUUCAAGCCUGCAUGAAAAAUAAAAAUAUAAGUUUAUCUUAUACUGAUUAGCUAUUAUGAAAACACUAGACUUUGCCCUAAUAGUAUGUAAUAUGUGAGUAUAAUCUUAUGUAAUUAUAAGAAUGAAUGAGAAAAAGGCCAUCAAGAGCGUUAAUGUUUUAUCUUUUAGCCCCCUUUUCUUUUGUACAUACAUCUCAUUCUCCUGCUAUCUUCAUUUAUCUCCAUUGAAUCCCUA
This is an RNA transcript of Mangifera indica (mango), 1372 nucleotides long. RefSeq lists it as uncharacterized. NCBI's taxonomy places the organism in Eukaryota, Viridiplantae, Streptophyta, Magnoliopsida, Sapindales, Anacardiaceae. The record is from RefSeq and is a predicted model, not a curated record. The transcript is spliced from 2 exons.